Molecule: ribosomal RNA, 632 nt
Filed under: Marmoricola sp. Ri2Pt_3939
Lineage: Bacteria; Bacillati; Actinomycetota; Actinomycetes; Propionibacteriales; Nocardioidaceae
Description: bacterial SSU rRNA
Rfam family: Bacterial small subunit ribosomal RNA
Source: RNAcentral
CCUGAUCAGCAACGCCGCGUGAGGGAUGACGGCCUUCGGGUUGUAAACCUCUUUCAGCAGGGACGAAGCGAAAGUGACGGUACCUGCAGAAGAAGCACCGGCCAACUACGUGCCAGCAGCCGCGGUAAUACGUAGGGUGCGAGCGUUGUCCGGAAUUAUUGGGCGUAAAGGGCUCGUAGGCGGUUUGUCGCGUCGGGAGUGAAAACUCAGGGCUUAACCCUGAGCCUGCUUCCGAUACGGGCAGACUAGAGGUAUGCAGGGGAGAAUGGAAUUCCUGGUGUAGCGGUGAAAUGCGCAGAUAUCAGGAGGAACACCGGUGGCGAAGGCGGUUCUCUGGGCAUUACCUGACGCUGAGGAGCGAAAGUGUGGGGAGCGAACAGGAUUAGAUACCCUGGUAGUCCACACCGUAAACGUUGGGCGCUAGGUGUGGGACUCAUUCCACGAGUUCCGUGCCGCAGCUAACGCAUUAAGCGCCCCGCCUGGGGAGUACGGCCGCAAGGCUAAAACUCAAAGGAAUUGACGGGGGCCCGCACAAGCGGCGGAGCAUGCGGAUUAAUUCGAUGCAACGCGAAGAACCUUACCUAGGUUUGACAUAUGCGAGAAUCCUCUAGAGAUAGAGGCCUCUUUGGACA